CCUACGGGCGGCAGCAGUGAGGAAUAUUGGUCAAUGGACGAGAGUCUGAACCAGCCAAGUAGCGUGAAGGAUGACUGCCCUAUGGGUUGUAAACUUCUUUUAUAUGGGAAUAAAAUGUUCCACGUGUGGGAUUUUGUAUGUACCAUAUGAAUAAGGACCGGCUAACUCCGUGCCAGCAGCCGCGGUAAUACGGAGGGUCCGAGCGUUAUCCGGAUUUAUUGGGUGUAAAGGGAGCGUAGGUGGAUUGUUAAGUUAGUUGUGAAAGUUUGCGGCUCAACCGUAAAAUUGCAGUUGAAACUGGCAGUCUUGAGUACAGUAGAGGUGGGCGGAAUUCGUGGUGUAGAGGUGAAAUGCUUAGAUAUCACGAAGAACUCCGAUUGCGAAGGCAGUUCACUGGACUGCAACUGACGCUGAGGCUCGAAAGCGUGGGUAUCAAACAGGAUUAGAUACCCUAGUAGUC
RNAcentral lists this ribosomal RNA (460 nucleotides) under uncultured bacterium. RNAcentral describes it as "partial 16S ribosomal RNA". It matches the Rfam family "Bacterial small subunit ribosomal RNA", at positions 338 to 795 of the family's 1533-position model. The record is from RNAcentral.